This 47-nucleotide non-coding RNA is filed under the name unclassified sequences. RNAcentral describes it as "chromate-resist RNA". It matches the Rfam family "chrB-b RNA". The record is from RNAcentral.
CGGGGAUAGGCAGACUCCCCGUGAGACGGUGCCUGUCCAAGCUCUGC